This 738-nucleotide long non-coding RNA is filed under the name Vigna radiata. RNAcentral describes it as "long non-coding RNA (VRAD_LNC004897)". The record is from RNAcentral. Lineage: Eukaryota; Viridiplantae; Streptophyta; Magnoliopsida; Fabales; Fabaceae.
GGUGGAGAGACUUCAAGUGAGUGCAAAGUGCUUUGUGGAUGUUGAUGAAUGAACCCCAAAUGCUAUGCUUCUCACAAAAACCCCAAACUUUGAUGAUGAGGAGGUGAAUAAUGGUGGAAAAGGGAUUUUUGAGAAGGUGGGUGUAGGGAAAAGUGAAGAGAUUGGCUUGGAGAAGUCUUGAGAGUGAUAAAAGAUAGUGGGGGUCUGAAUGAGAGGCUUGGGCGAGACCUAAGGGGUAUUAAAAUAUGCAAUGGGCCAACUAACGUUGAGCCCAACUUAAAAACCCAAUUGUGCAAUCUGUUACGCCACCGCUCAGCGAUGAGCGCGAUUUUGAAUCUUCACCUUUUUGCUUUUCCCUAAGCGUCAUUGACCCUGUAUUACUCAAAUUCAACUUUCAAUUUUUAAUUUUCAUGCAAUUCCCCAAUCACUCCACUCAAUCAUGGAACAAUUAAACCCUAAAAUGCAACUAGAAUAGAAUUAAAACAUGCAACAAAAUUAAAUCAAUCAACUGGGUUGCCUCCCAGGUAACACUUGUUUAACAUUACGAGCCUGACCCAAACCUUUCUAACACUCAUCAGUAAGUGAAAAUCUUACCAACACCCACAGUAAGUGUACCUUCUUGUAUCCUUCAGUGAAUAUUGUUGAGCACUAUUUAUUAGGUAGCAUCCCUCAAUAAAUGCUACCUAAUAAACAAUGCUCAACAAUAUUUAAAAUUACAUAACCAAAAUAAUUAAAUAA